AGCCUUCUUGUAAGUAUUCUCAUAAAAGUGUUUUUCAUGGAGCUUGGAGCGGAACCUCUGUGCAUUAUAAGAACUGGUGACUGGCUCUUUGUCUUUCCUCUUCCUUGAGGACGCAAUAGUUUUUGGUGCCAUUACGGUGAAUAGAAAAAUAACAAGUAAAGCGGCUAACACUAAACUUAAAAUUUUUACUCGUCCUUGAGCAAAUUAGAGAAUUACAAAGAGGAAGACAGAGAGUAAAAGAUGAAGAAAACUAAAAUAAUGAAGUAAAAUUAAAUUAAAUUAU
RNAcentral lists this long non-coding RNA (283 nucleotides) under Arachis ipaensis. Its description in RNAcentral is "long non-coding RNA (AIPA_LNC000540)". Lineage: Eukaryota; Viridiplantae; Streptophyta; Magnoliopsida; Fabales; Fabaceae. The record is from RNAcentral.